RNAcentral lists this long non-coding RNA (742 nucleotides) under Equus asinus (donkey). RNAcentral's name for it is "lncRNA (ENSEASG00005032049.1)". The record is from RNAcentral. Lineage: Eukaryota; Metazoa; Chordata; Mammalia; Perissodactyla; Equidae.
CGGCUCUCUGCCUACAAGGAUCCUUGCAAUUAUGGUACAAAUGUCAUCCCUGUCAUCCAAGCCCCUUUAUGACUGCAGCCAUGUGGCCUUCUAGAUGCCAUUCAACAAGUGCCCAAAAGCCACAUCUGUGCAAAAUAAGUUGCAUGUUCCCGUUCUGGUUGAAGGCGUCACUGUGGACCAUUCUGCCAGGGAGGCCUCGGGCUGCGCGUUCUUUCUGCUGAGUUCAGACAUGCCGAGCUGGAUCCCCCCACGCUCUCUUAAGCAGCACCCAUUUGGCAACUCAAUUUAUCAAGAUGGCUGACAGGGGAGGGGUGGACACUGAGGCAUGGCAGAGUUUUCUCCCGCGGGUGCCAAAUAUCCAGUGUGGUUAUUCAAGCCCAGAUUUCAGUGCUGGGAAUUAACCAAAUUAACUAAAGCAGACCUGUCUGGGUGGCCAUGAAGAUUCAGAUGAUUUGAAAAGAUGUGAUUCACAACCCCCCUCCUACGGGGCUCCAGAAAUAAUUCCAGACCCUUGAAGAUCAUUGAAACCUAAAGCAAGAAAGAUCUUUAAGAAGUCAUCUACUGGGGGCCAGCCCAGUGGUGCAGCAGUUAAGUCCGCACUUUCCACUUUGGUGGCCUGGGGUUUGCUUGUUCAGAUCCCAGGCGCAGACCUAGCAUGGCUUAUCAAGCCACACUGUGGCAGGCGUCCCACAUAUAAAAUAGAGGACGAUUGGCACAGAUGUUAGCUCAGGGCCAAUCUUUU